Molecule: ribosomal RNA, 484 nt
Filed under: uncultured bacterium
Lineage: Bacteria
Description: partial 16S ribosomal RNA
Rfam family: Bacterial small subunit ribosomal RNA
Source: RNAcentral
AUUGAACGCUGGCGGCAGGCCUAACACAUGCAAGUCGAGCGGAUGAAGGGAGCUUGCUCCUGGAUUCAGCGGCGGACGGGUGAGUAAUGCCUAGGAAUCUGCCUGGUAGUGGGGGAUAACGUCCGGAAACGGGCGCUAAUACCGCAUACGUCCUGAGGGAGAAAGUGGGGGAUCUUCGGACCUCACGCUAUCAGAUGAGCCUAGGUCGGAUUAGCUAGUUGGUGGGGUAAAGGCCUACCAAGGCGACGAUCCGUAACUGGUCUGAGAGGAUGAUCAGUCACACUGGAACUGAGACACGGUCCAGACUCCUACGGGAGGCAGCAGUGGGGAAUAUUGGACAAAGGGCGAAAGCCUGAUCCAGCCAUGCCGCGUGUGUGAAGAAGGUCUUCGGAUUGUAAAGCACUUUAAGUUGGGAGGAAGGGCAGUAAGUUAAUACCUUGCUGUUUUGACGUUACCAACAGAAUAAGCACCGGUUAACUUCGUG